This 424-nucleotide ribosomal RNA is filed under the name uncultured bacterium. Its description in RNAcentral is "partial 16S ribosomal RNA". It matches the Rfam family "Bacterial small subunit ribosomal RNA", at positions 360 to 776 of the family's 1533-position model. The record is from RNAcentral.
AAUUUUGGACAAUGGGGGAAACCCUGAUCCAGCCAUCCCGCGUGUAUGAUGAAGGCCUUCGGGUUGUAAAGUACUUUUGGCAGAGAAGAAAAGGUAUUCCCUACUACGGGAUACUGCUGCAGGUAUCUGCAGAAUAAGCACCGGCGAACUACGUGUCAGCAGCCGCGGUAAUACGUAUGGUGCAAGCUGUAAUCGGAAUUAGUGUGCGUAAAGCGUGUGUAGGCUGUUCGGAAAGAAAGAUGUGAAAUCCCAGGGCUCAACCUUGGAACUGCAUUUUUAACUGCCGAGCUAGAGUAUGUCAGAGGGGGGUAGAAUUCCACGUGUAGCAGUGAAAUGCGUAGAUAUGUGGAGGAAUACCGAUGGCGAAGGCAGCCCCCUGGGAUAAUACUGACGCUCAGACAAGAAAGCGUGGGGAGCAAACAGG